This 440-nucleotide ribosomal RNA is filed under the name uncultured bacterium. RNAcentral describes it as "partial 16S ribosomal RNA". It matches the Rfam family "Bacterial small subunit ribosomal RNA", at positions 338 to 795 of the family's 1533-position model. The record is from RNAcentral.
CCUACGGGUGGCAGCAGUGGGGAAUAUUGCACAAUGGGGGAAACCCUGAUCCAGCGACGCCGCGUGAGUGAAGAAGUAUUUCGGUAUGUAAAGCUCUAUCAGCAAGGGAGAAAAUGACGGUACCUGACUAAGAAGCCCCGGCUAACUACGUGCCAGCUGCCGCGGUAAUACGGAGGGGGCAAGCGUUAUCCGGAGUUACUGGGUUUAACGGGGGUGUAGACGGGAGCACAAGUCUGGAGUGAAAUGCCGGGGCUUAACCCCGGAACUGCUGUUGAAACUGGGCAGCUAGAGUGCAGGAGAGGUAUGCGGAAUGCGCGGUGUAGCGGUGAAAUGCGUAGAUAGCAGGAAGAACUCCGGUGGCGAAGGCGGCUUACUGGACUGUAACUGACGUUGAGGCUCGAAAGCGUGGGUAGCAAACAGGAUUAGAUACCCCUGUAGUC